This 2337-nucleotide long non-coding RNA is filed under the name Zostera marina. RNAcentral describes it as "long non-coding RNA (ZMAR_LNC002984)". Lineage: Eukaryota; Viridiplantae; Streptophyta; Magnoliopsida; Alismatales; Zosteraceae. The record is from RNAcentral.
ACAUCGUAUGAAUGUCGGAUCAAACGAUAAAGGAAAAGCACCUAUAACAAAUAAGGAUAUAAGUAUAUUUCAUCUACAUAUUUUAUUUAUUUAUUUAUUUAUUUAUUUUCAUUUUAUUUUAUUUAUAAUUAAACUAACGAUAUUUUUCCAACAAUACAAUAGUGGAGACGGGUCAAAUGGAAUUUUUCCAACAAUACAAUAGCGCUUUGCAAACUUAAAAUCCGAACAUGCGCAUACUGGAUUUACCAACAUCCAAUCUUCGGACUACUGCGCAAGCAGAUCAAAUGGGCGGGUUCAUUUAUUCAUCUGGAGCGUCGACGUCACGAGCACUAGUGCAGCAGACUCCUCCUCAACCAACGAUUGAACCAGAGGAGCAAACUCCUACACAACGUCGCGGACGACCAAUCAUUUUCUCAAAAUAUAAAUUAUCAAAGCUCGUAUUCAGAAAGACCAAAAAAAAAAAAGAACGACAAAAUAGAUAUUAGGAUAUUUAGCGACUUCUUCACAAAACUUGUUAUUUGAUUUUGUCGUAAAUUAUUUUAAUUAUCAACAAUUUCAAUUUUUUUCAUUUAAUAUAAUUUCUAAUAAAUAUUAUAUAAUUCAUAAUUAAAUAAAUAAAAAUUAAUUAUUUUAAUAAAAAAAUUUUUUGAGAAAGCGUACCGGUGGAUGUAGAAUGUCGCAGAUAAUUCAUACCGGUGGCCAGGUCGUCAGCAAUUUGCUCUUGGGAAAUUUAUACCUGUGGCCAAACCGCCAGUCCUAUGACAUCAAUAAUCAAAAUAAACAAAUUAUUACUAGCGACAAACACUAGAAUUCCUAAAAUUGGGGAAAAGAUUUGCACAACUCGGAAUUCAACAUAGGCUCUCGGCUCCUUACUCCCAUCAACAAAUGGGUCAUGUAGAAUGUCGUCACCGAUAUCUAGUUGACAAAACGAUAAGUCUGCUGAAUUUCGCAAAUCUACCACAAUCUUUUUGGGAUUUUGGGGUAAUGGAUGCUUGUUUCCUCUAUAAUCGAAAUCCAUCUACAGUUCUGAAAAAUAAAGCUCCGAUGGAAGUUCUAUUCAAUCAAUUACUAGAAUACAAUAAACUGAAAGUGUUUGGGAGUAAAUGCUACCCCCUGUCUUCGAGCACAAAGAACUGGAAAAUUAGAUGAAAAACCAAGACCAAGUGUUUUCGUUGGGUAUUUGGUAUUCCAUAACUGGAAAUUCAUACCUAUGUCUUGAUCCUAUCACCAGACGGAUAUUUAAUUCCAGAGACGUAGUAUUUGCGAAAAUGGAUUUUUCUCUCAAUGAUUCAUUACAUAAUCACUCUUCGCCAAAAGUUUCAUUAAAGGUGUCAAAUUAUUUACCUUUUGGUUGUAUAUCAGGUACGAGAAAUGAAAGAACGUCUCCAAUCAACAAUGAUAGCAGUAUCAACUCCGACGGUAUCAAUCCACUCGUCGACACGAACUCGGGACUGAUUCAACAACCGACAAAUACAACCGGCAAACUCCACGAAACUGACGAGUCCGAUGUCUUGAUUUCGGAUCUAAACCAACAAACAAAUAAUGAUUCUGACCCGACACCCAAUAUUAUGAGAGAACCGGAAUGCACAUCUGAUCCAAUGCUCCCGAAUGGCAGAAGUACGGAUCUGGAACCGAUUAAUGAUGGCACAUCCGAAUUUGGGAAUGAAUCAGAACAUGUAUUUGGUUCAACCUCAACGGACAGCCGCGACUCAGACAGUGAUGAUGAUAUUGAAGAAGCACCAAGGAUGAGAACGUGAUUGAUGUCGGGAAUCGUAAAGCCUAAUCCUAAAUACUUGAUGAAUGUAAGGCAGCUAUGGAAAUUCCAGAGUGGAAGGCAGCUAUGAAGAAGGAGUUCGACGCACUCUAACAGAGUGAAACGUGGUCAUUAAUUCCACAAAAUAAAAAUAAUCAUAUCAUCAACACCAAAUGGGUCUUUAAGGUAAAAUACAACGACGACGGCACGAUCGAAAGGUACAAGGCAAGGUUAGUUGCCAAUGGAUUACGACAGAUUGCAGGAUCAGACUAUGAGAAAAUAUUUAGCCCGAUCAUUCAUCCUGUUUCAAUUCGUUUAAUUCUAUCAAUGACAGUAACCAACAACUGGUCAAUUCGUCAAAUUGACAUAUCAAACGCUUUUCUUCAUGGGAAGAUGGAUGAACGGAUUAUUGUAUCGCAACCCUAUGGAUUUCAAGAUCCGGGAAAAUCAGAUUACGUUUGUAAGUUAAACAAAGCCUUAUAUGGGCUGAAACAAAGUACACGAUGCUGGUUUCGGCGACUUCGGGAUGUUCUAAGUUCGUUCGAAUUUGAGCAAUCAAAGAUUGAUCCACCAUUAGUUUUCAA